Molecule: ribosomal RNA, 1436 nt
Filed under: uncultured organism
Description: 16S ribosomal RNA
Rfam family: Bacterial small subunit ribosomal RNA
Source: RNAcentral
CAGGCUUAACACAUGCAAGUCGAGGGGCAGCAUGGUCUUAGCUUGCUAAGGCCGAUGGCGACCGGCGCACGGGUGAGUAACACGUAUCCAACCUGCCGUCUACUCUUGGACAGCCUUCUGAAAGGAAGAUUAAUACAAGAUGGCAUCAUGAGUCCGCAUGUUCACAUGAUUAAAGGUAUUCCGGUAGACGAUGGGGAUGCGUUCCAUUAGAUAGUAGGCGGGGUAACGGCCCACCUAGUCUUCGAUGGAUAGGGGUUCUGAGAGGAAGGUCCCCCACAUUGGAACUGAGACACGGUCCAAACUCCUACGGGAGGCAGCAGUGAGGAAUAUUGGUCAAUGGGCGAGAGCCUGAACCAGCCAAGUAGCGUGAAGGAUGACUGCCCUAUGGGUUGUAAACUUCUUUUAUAAAGGAAUAAAGUCGGGUAUGGAUACCCGUUUGCAUGUACUUUAUGAAUAAGGAUCGGCUAACUCCGUGCCAGCAGCCGCGGUAAUACGGAGGAUCCGAGCGUUAUCCGGAUUUAUUGGGUUUAAAGGGAGCGUAGAUGGAUAUUUAAGUCAGUUGUGAAAGUUUGCGGCUCAACCGUAAAAUUGCAGUUGAUACUGGAUAUCUUGAGUGCAGUUGAGGCAGGCGGAAUUCGUGGUGUAGCGGUGAAAUGCUUAGAUAUCACGAAGAACUCCGAUUGCGAAGGCAGCCUGCUAAGCUGCAACUGACAUUGAGGCUCGAAAGUGUGGGUAUCAAACAGGAUUAGAUACCCUGGUAGUCCACACGGUAAACGAUGAAUACUCGCUGUUUGCGAUAUACUGCAAGCGGCCAAGCGAAAGCGUUAAGUAUUCCACCUGGGGAGUACGCCGGCAACGGUGAAACUCAAAGGAAUUGACGGGGGCCCGCACAAGCGGAGGAACAUGUGGUUUAAUUCGAUGAUACGCGAGGAACCUUACCCGGGCUUAAAUUGCAGAUGAAUUACGGUGAAAGCCGUAAGCCGCAAGGCAUCUGUGAAGGUGCUGCAUGGUUGUCGUCAGCUCGUGCCGUGAGGUGUCGGCUUAAGUGCCAUAACGAGCGCAACCCUUGUUGUCAGUUACUAACAGGUUCCGCUGAGGACUCUGACAAGACUGCCAUCGUAAGAUGUGAGGAAGGUGGGGAUGACGUCAAAUCAGCACGGCCCUUACGUCCGGGGCUACACACGUGUUACAAUGGGGGGUACAGAGGGCCGCUACCACGCGAGUGGAUGCCAAUCCCAAAAACCUCUCUCAGUUCGGACUGGAGUCUGCAACCCGACUCCACGAAGCUGGAUUCGCUAGUAAUCGCGCAUCAGCCACGGCGCGGUGAAUACGUUCCCGGGCCUUGUACACACCGCCCGUCAAGCCAUGGGAGCCGGGGGUACCUGAAGUGCGUAACCGCGAGGAGCGCCCUAGGGUAAAACUGGUGACUGGGGCUA